UACGUAGGGGCAAGCGUUGUCCGGAAUUAUUGGGCGUAAAGAGCGCGCAGGUGGUUGAUUAAGUCUGAUGUGAAAGCCCACGGCUUAACCGUGGAGGGUCAUUGGAAACUGGUUGACUUGAGUGCAGAAGAGGGAAGUGGAAUUCCAUGUGUAGCGGUGAAAUGCGUAGAGAUAUGGAGGAACACCAGUGGCGAAGGCGGCUUCCUGGUCUGUAACUGACACUGAGGCGCGAAAGCGUGGGGAGCAAACAGGAUUAGAUACCCU
This 264-nucleotide ribosomal RNA is filed under the name uncultured prokaryote. RNAcentral's name for it is "partial 16S ribosomal RNA". It matches the Rfam family "Bacterial small subunit ribosomal RNA", at positions 524 to 788 of the family's 1533-position model. The record is from RNAcentral.